Long non-coding RNA from Magnolia sinica, 602 nucleotides. RefSeq lists it as uncharacterized. The transcript has 4 exons. The record is from RefSeq and is a predicted model, not a curated record. NCBI's taxonomy places the organism in Eukaryota, Viridiplantae, Streptophyta, Magnoliopsida, Magnoliales, Magnoliaceae.
CAUGUAGCAGGCACGAAGUGGUUAGAUGCAAUCCUAGAGAAAAAAGGUGGAAAAUCGGGUCGCAAAAAUUAUUGAUACGAAGUUGGGAAAACAAGUAAUUGAUCACUUUCCUGCUCUAUAAAAGUUCCGAGCAAAUAGAAUCAUUUUCAUCAUCAAUCUUGUCAUUUCAAUCUUUGCAAAUGUAAAUAAACCUUCUUUCAUUGAUUUCCUUUCAUGUCUUAGGUUCCAAGAUUUCUAUGAACAAGGAGAGCGUAAGACAUUAUUAGCUGAAGUUUCUGAAUUGUGGGAUUAGGUUUCUGUAAAAUCACUUUUUCCUUAAAGUUCUUGCAUCCUGUAUGCUAAAAUUGUAUUUUUGGUAAUAUGCAGCUUUUGAAAGUCCUCAAGUGGAGAUAUGACCAGUCUACAUUCCCUUCAAGGAGAACAUCUCAGCUGGAUUGAGGAAAUCAAUCAAUGGCAAGCAGAAGUACUAAAUGCCCAACUGACGGUUGAGCAGCUUCAACAACGAGAUCAGUUGCUCACGGCCCAAAAUGAGAUGUUGAAGAUGGACAAGGCUAUUCUCAAGAGGAAGGUUGCAGAAUUGGAUGAAAAUUUGGGCUAUUGUC